RNAcentral lists this ribosomal RNA (164 nucleotides) under Lilium concolor var. pulchellum. RNAcentral's name for it is "5.8S ribosomal RNA". It matches the Rfam family "5.8S ribosomal RNA". From Rfam's summary of the family: 5.8S ribosomal RNA (5.8S rRNA) is a component of the large subunit of the eukaryotic ribosome. It is transcribed by RNA polymerase I as part of the 45S precursor that also contains 18S and 28S rRNA. Functionally, it is thought that 5.8S rRNA may be involved in ribosome translocation. The record is from RNAcentral. Lineage: Eukaryota; Viridiplantae; Streptophyta; Magnoliopsida; Liliales; Liliaceae.
UAUACGACUCUCGGCAACGGAUAUCUCGGCUCUCGCAUCGAUGAAGAACGUAGCGAAAUGUGAUACUUGGUGUGAAUUGCAGAAUCCCGUGAACCAUCGAGUCUUUGAAUGCAAGUUGCGCCCGAGGCCUUUCGGUUGAGGGCACGCCUGCCUGGGCGUCACGC